Molecule: long non-coding RNA, 661 nt
Organism: Triticum dicoccoides
Lineage: Eukaryota; Viridiplantae; Streptophyta; Magnoliopsida; Poales; Poaceae
Exons: 3
Source: RefSeq, a predicted model, not a curated record
AACACCACCUGGGACUUGGUGGCUGACAUUGAGAAGGUACAGCGGCGCUGUUGGUUCCUUGAGGCCAGGUCGAGUUGAGGUAGGGGAUAGGAAGGUUGAGCCGCUCGGGUGCUGAUCAUGUACAACGGCGCUCUUUUCAGCAUCGACCCGACCAAACCAAUGAUGCAAGGCUUCUCCUGCUACUGCAGAUUACUUCUUCCAUUAAUCACCUAGUGCUCCUCAGAGGACAAGGGCUUCAUGGCCAACCAAGGUGCAUGGUGCUUGCAAUCGACGAACGGAGGCUGAUCGACAUUGGCUACACAAACCACCACUGUGAGCUCCUCCCAUUGCUAUGCUACAACCAUGCUCUGUUUCAUGGGUCAGUUAGGAUUUUGAUGCUUUUAGCGCCGUGGUUGAGUCCUUGCUGACUGUUGUGUCGAUGAUCAAUUGCUGGUGCUUCAUAUGGCUAUUUGAUUUGCUGCUGCUAAUUAGUAGUAUUAGAGUGCCGCUGGUUUAUUAGGAUGUUGCUGAAACCAUUGGAUGGCCUUCCUGGACAUGUUAUCCAGAAUUAGUACUUGUCCCAUUUUCUGUUUACUUGCUGGACAUGCUAUGGUUCAAGUGUCGAUGAUGUCUAGUAGUAGUUUGCUAGCUAUAUACCUACUACUGAUUGAUGCUCUUUUGG